Molecule: non-coding RNA, 206 nt
Organism: Arachis ipaensis
Lineage: Eukaryota; Viridiplantae; Streptophyta; Magnoliopsida; Fabales; Fabaceae
Source: RefSeq, a predicted model, not a curated record
UGUUUUAUCCGGAACUGUCAGUUUCAACCAUAGGAGCUGUCAAAGGAACUCCAGUGAGUUUGAAUGGUUCUGGAGCUGUGGCUUCAUCAGUUCCCAGUUGAUCAGCUUUCUUCCGAAGCUGCUUGAAGAAGGUUACAUCAAGAAUCCCCAGCAGCAGCAAGGUUUCCUCCGGAAGCUUCAAGAUUGUAGUGAUCAAUGAGGACAAG